UGCAUCUGCAGCUCAUGAGGAUGAGAACCUCCGGGGGCAGGGAGGUUCGACUCGAGCGAAGCAAGAGAACGUUGCGCCAGCAACGGCCCGCAGGGCGAGCCACGAAGUGGCGAGUAAUCCUCUAUCACCGACCA
RNAcentral lists this small RNA (134 nucleotides) under Escherichia coli. RNAcentral's name for it is "RtT sRNA". It matches the Rfam family "RtT RNA". Rfam says of the family: This family represents a bacterial cis-regulatory element known as RtT RNA. The exact function of RtT is unknown although it is thought that it may be involved in changing the cellular response in relation to amino acid starvation. Lineage: Bacteria; Pseudomonadati; Pseudomonadota; Gammaproteobacteria; Enterobacterales; Enterobacteriaceae. The record is from RNAcentral.